Molecule: ribosomal RNA, 367 nt
Filed under: uncultured bacterium
Lineage: Bacteria
Description: bacterial SSU rRNA
Rfam family: Bacterial small subunit ribosomal RNA
Source: RNAcentral
GGAGGGUGCAAGCGUUAUCCGGAUUCACUGGGUUUAAAGGGUGCGUAGGCGGGCAGGUAAGUCCGUGGUGAAAUCUCUGAGCUUAACUCAGAAACUGCCAUGGAUACUAUUUGUCUUGAAUAUUGUGGAGGUGAGCGGAAUAUGUCAUGUAGCGGUGAAAUGCUUAGAUAUGACAUAGAACACCAAUUGCGAAGGCAGCUCACUACACAGUUAUUGACGCUGAGGCACGAAAGCGUGGGGAUCAAACAGGAUUAGAUACCCUGGUAGUCCACGCCCUAAACGAUGAUUACUCGACAUCAGCGAUACACUGUUGGUGUCUGAGCGAAAGCAUUAAGUAAUCCACCUGGGAAGUACGAUCGCAAGAUUG